Long non-coding RNA from Leptopilina heterotoma, 741 nucleotides. RefSeq lists it as uncharacterized. Lineage: Eukaryota; Metazoa; Arthropoda; Insecta; Hymenoptera; Figitidae. The transcript is spliced from 2 exons. The record is from RefSeq and is a predicted model, not a curated record.
GUAAGGGGAGAGAGUGGGGCGAAUUGUGGUGCGGAGACAUAACAGCGAAAAAAAAUUUUUCGUAAAGUUAGUGAUCAGAGAGACCUUGGCUCCGUAAGUUGGAGAAAAUUGCAAGCGUGUUGAUCGCUUGCAAUCGCUUGUUGUGAGUCGACGUCAAAUUUUGCUCUACGCCCGAUUGGGCGGUUGGUACAUAAUUAGUUUCUGCACAUAGAGAAUUGCUCGACGCACACUUUUGGCGAUUCGCGCUUUCAAUAUAUUUUCCCGAGACCGACCUGCAUCCGUUGUGGAUUAGGCCUAUACACAAAAAGGAUUUCAAUUAAUUAACAACUCAAAAUCUGAAGAGAUUAAAUUGACAAUUUGGAGUGAUCCGGAUACUUUCUGACAUACGGCCUUGAGGUCUCUGGACAGCGCCGGCACCAAGAAUAAUAUACAACAAAAAAAACGUGGUAACUUACGACGAACAUUGUAUGACGACGGUGAGUCACGCAACCGAUUAACUAAUGUUCUCUCUGAUCACAAUAUUUUGAAUCUUUAUUAUUAAACAUAUCGCAGUAUAAUUUUUUUUUUUUUAUAAAUAUUUGUAUCUAUGUGUAAGAAUGUGUAUGUGUAUAGUGUGAUUUCGAAAUAUAUAGUCGAUUAAUUCAUUGGAUGGAGAGUAUAAUUAAAAUUUUACGAAUUGUUAUAACAAUUGAUAUUGACAUAUUUUUUAAUACUCGCAAAUAAAUGUAAAAUUUAUACAUA